CCUACGGGGGGCAGCAGUGAGGAAUAUUGGUCAAUGGACGAGAGUCUGAACCAACCAAGUAGCGUGAAGGAUGACUGCCCUAUGGGUUGUAAACUUCUUUUAUAUGGGAAUAAAACGUUCCACGUGUGGGAUUUUGUAUGUACCAUAUGAAUAAGGAUCGGCUAACUCCGUGCCAGCAGCCGCGGUAAUACGGGGGAUCCGAGCGUUAUCCGGAUUUAUUGGGUUUAAAGGGAGCGUAGGUGGAUUGUUAAGGCAGUUGUGAAAGUUUGCGGCUCAACCGUAAAAUUGCAGUUGAAACUGGCAGUCUUGAGUACAGUAGAGGUGGGCGGAAUUCGUGGUGUAGCGGUGAAAUGCUUAGAUAUCACGAAGAACUCCGAUUGCGAAGGCAGUUCACUGGACUGCAACUGACACUGAGGCUCGAAAGUGUGGGUAUCAAACAGGAUUAGAUACCCCUGUAGUC
This 460-nucleotide ribosomal RNA is filed under the name uncultured bacterium. RNAcentral's name for it is "partial 16S ribosomal RNA". It matches the Rfam family "Bacterial small subunit ribosomal RNA", at positions 338 to 795 of the family's 1533-position model. The record is from RNAcentral.